GAAACAUCUUAGUACCCGGAGGAAGAGAAAGAAAAUUCGAUUCCCUUAGUAGCGGCGAGCGAAACGGGAAGAGCCCAAACCAACAAGCUUGCUUGUUGGGGUUGUAGGACACUCUAUACGGAGUUACAAAGGACGACAUUAGACGAAUCAUCUGGAAAGAUGAAUCAAAGAAGGUAAUAAUCCUGUAGUCGAAAAUGUUGUCUCUCUUGAGUGGAUCCUGAGUACGACGGAGCACGUGAAAUUCCGUCGGAAUCUGGGAGGACCAUCUCCUAAGGCUAAAUACUCUCUAGUGACCGAUAGUGAACCAGUACCGUGAGGGAAAGGUGAAAAGCACCCCGGAAGGGGAGUGAAAUAGAACCUGAAACCGUGUGCUUACAAGUAGUCAGAGCCCGUUAAUGGGUGAUGGCGUGCCUUUUGUAGAAUGAACCGGCGAGUUACGAUUUGAUGCAAGGUUAAGCAGUAAAUGUGGAGCCGUAGCGAAAGCGAGUCUGAAUAGGGCGUUUAGUAUUUGGUCGUAGACCCGAAACCAGGUGAUCUACCCUUGGUCAGGUUGAAGUUCAGGUAACACUGAAUGGAGGACCGAACCGACUUACGUUGAAAAGUGAGCGGAUGAACUGAGGGUAGCGGAGAAAUUCCAAUCGAACCUGGAGAUAGCUGGUUCUCUCCGAAAUAGCUUUAGGGCUAGCCUCAAGUGAUGAUUAUU
Molecule: ribosomal RNA, 703 nt
Filed under: Staphylococcus aureus
Lineage: Bacteria; Bacillati; Bacillota; Bacilli; Caryophanales; Staphylococcaceae
Description: partial 23S ribosomal RNA
Rfam family: Bacterial large subunit ribosomal RNA
Source: RNAcentral